ACAAAAAGAAGCAUUCAAUACUUUUUAGUUAAGAUCAUGAAAAUACGAAUUUUAUCAUUUUUUUAUUUAAUUCACCUGUCCACUUUAUUGUGGGACCUCGUGUUAUCAUGCAUGAUAAGUUUUAUUGAGUAAUGCAUUUACUGAAGGAAUAACACGUGAUGUGCAGUUAGCCAAUCAGAAUAACGUGUUAUAAUGAAACAUAACAUACAUCUAAUGUAAUUAUAUAAUGAUGAGAUGUGUAAUGAUGGCAUUUUAAAAAGAUCUACAGUAGAACCCACUGUUCAGUCAUGACAAGCAUUUUUGUAACUGUCAGAAUGUCUUAAAAAUCGACUAAACCUGCCCCGACACAGGGUUGAUGUCGAGUUAACUCAGGUUCAAAAGGUCAAACUCGGGGGUUCGGUUGUCAAUCGAGUAAACUCGACAGACUCUGAGUUGGACAAUACCAACUAGAAAUAAUGUUUAAUCUAAAAGGUUCUUUUAAAUAACAUUUCUCUAGUGACAGGAAUGCUGAUUAUCAAUUAUAAGAAUUUUAUUCACCAAAAUGAUUCGUGUAAUAAAGCUUUUUAUGUCCCUUUUGCCGUAGCGGGAGCAUUAAGUUUUACCCUUGUCCGACUGUCUGUACGUACGUACGUCCCAAACAUUGAUGUCUGUUCUCUAACUUAAGUUUGCCUGAACCAACUGUUGUCAAACUUAUACAAAAUGCGUAUUACCACAAAACUUGCUUAUUACCACAAAACUCAGAUCAAAGUUUGAAUUUUGGUGAAGUCACUUUAAACGUUCUAGAGUUAAGUCUUUUUUUAGGUCUUUCCACUUUUCGUGAAAAGACCUUUUGUUUUUCUUCUGAUUAUUUUUUUUUUUUUCUGCCGUCUGAGAUGCUUUUUUGUCUUACAACGUAUCGAAUAGAUUUUUGGCCAAUGAUGUUGUACAGUAAUAGGGAUUUCAAAACUCAUCCUGUGUGACCGAACACUUAUUCUUAUGGGAGUUAUCUCCCCACGUCCCCUUUUACUUGUUAUCGCUAUAUCUCUAAAACCGUAAAAGAUUUAAGCAAACUGUUUUCACCAAAUUGUUUGUCUACUCUUACGAAUGAUUUGGUUAAUUUUGACUUGAGUGAUCAGAAGACAUCUUAUGGGAGUUAUUUCCCUUUUAAAAUUUACGAUAGGCGAUUUUUUGGAUAAAUUCAUACGUUAUAAGUCGAAGAGGCCUACAGUCUUUUGAUAUGAAAUCCUUGGUCCAUUUCAAGGAAAUUGAGGUCAAGGUCAAAGGUCAAGGUCAUGUUAUAAAUUUUGAAUUUUGCUUGUUAUCGUUAUUCAAAAGUAACUGUGGCAGUAAAUGAUAUAAUGUCUAUGCCAAAUAACUGUUUACAAAAAGGCGCAAAUUCAACCUUUUUAAGUCGAAGAGUUUUGGUUAACCCUUAUAAGAGUUUUCUCUCCUUUUGUAUUUGAAAUCAGUAUUUCUCCACAACCAUACAAGUGAUUGACCUGGGGUCUUUUGAUUUGAGUUCACUGACCUAUGACCUUGAAAUUGGGAUCAAGGUCGAAGGUCAAGGUCAUGUUAUAAAUUUUGAAUUUUGCUUGUUAUCCUUAUUCAAAAGAAACUGUUUCAGUAAAUGAUAUGAUGUGUUUGCCAAAUAACUGUUUACACUAAGGCGCAACUUCAACCUAUUUAAGACGAAGAGUUUUGGUUAACCGUCAUAGGAGUUUUCUCCCCUUAUGUAUUUGAAAUCAGUAUUUCUCCACAACCAUACAAAUGAUUGACCUGGGGUCUUUUGAUUUGAGAUCACUGACCUAUGACCUUGAAAUUGAGGUCAAAGUCAAUUUGACGUUCUAGAUUUUUACCUUGGCUAAAAAUUAUUUCCUGUUUAUAAUAAAACAAUCAAGUCUUCUGCAUAUACCUAUUAAUCUUAUUUUUUAUAUAUCAAUUUGAAGAACCAAAUUACAUCAACAAGGAGUGACAUUUU
RNAcentral lists this long non-coding RNA (1957 nucleotides) under Mytilus galloprovincialis (Mediterranean mussel). The record is from RNAcentral. Lineage: Eukaryota; Metazoa; Mollusca; Bivalvia; Mytilida; Mytilidae.